This 496-nucleotide long non-coding RNA is filed under the name Rattus norvegicus (Norway rat). RNAcentral describes it as "long non-coding RNA NONRATT023848". The record is from RNAcentral. Lineage: Eukaryota; Metazoa; Chordata; Mammalia; Rodentia; Muridae.
CGCUGCAGGUGCCGCUGGGUGCCAGGACCUCUGGGGCUCCGGCAGGCGAUGGAAGCGGAGCGCUAGAGGAUCCUUGGGUCAGCCCAGAACAUCCGUAAGGACUGUGAUGGGGUUGGCAUCUGAGCAGCCGUGGAGCACAGUCGGGGAAAGAUUACCAGCACGAGUGGCGGCGAGUCCGGAUGGCCAGCCCUGCCGCUGGGAGAACUUUUCCCAACUCCCUUGGGAGACGCCUCCCUGGAGUCUUCCUCUGUCCCACCUCUGUUCGGUCCACGGAUGCUUCCUGAGUCUGGGUGCGAGUCCUAGUCUGGUUGCACUCUAGGUCAGUACCGCGGACAGCGCACUGAAGCCUACAGCCCCAAGCACCAUCCAUACGCAGGAAUGAAGCACACGCACGCACUUGAUAUAGAGCACUCACGAACACUCCACUCACAAAUUCACACUCCUUUCUGGUAAAUAUAUUCCUAUAUCGUGGCUCAUAGGCUCACACAAUGCACAC